UGUAUGUAGCUCAGUGGUAGAGUACUUGCCUAGCAUGCACAUGGCUCUGGGUUUGACCCCCAGCACUGCAA
This 71-nucleotide transfer RNA is filed under the name Fukomys damarensis (Damara mole-rat). It matches the Rfam family "tRNA". Rfam says of the family: Transfer RNA (tRNA) molecules are approximately 80 nucleotides in length. Their secondary structure includes four short double-helical elements and three loops (D, anti-codon, and T loops). The record is from Rfam by way of RNAcentral. Lineage: Eukaryota; Metazoa; Chordata; Mammalia; Rodentia; Bathyergidae.